CCUGAUGCAGCGACGCCGCGUGAGGGAUGAAGGCCUUCGGGUUGUAAACCUCUUUCAGUAGGGAAGAAGCGACUGGGUUCUCUCAAUCGUGACGGUACCUGCAGAAGAAGCGCCGGCUAACUACGUGCCAGCAGCCGCGGUAAUACGUAGGGCGCAAGCGUUGUCCGGAAUUAUUGGGCGUAAAGAGCUCGUAGGCGGUUUGUCGCGUCUGGUGUGAAAACUCAAGGCUCAACCUUGAGCUUGCAUCGGGUACGGGCAGACUAGAGUGUGGUAGGGGUGACUGGAAUUCCUGGUGUAGCGGUGGAAUGCGCAGAUAUCAGGAGGAACACCGAUGGCGAAGGCAGGUCACUGGGCCACUACUGACGCUGAGGAGCGAAAGCAUGGGGAGCGAACAGGAUUAGAUACCCUGGUAGUCCAUGCCGUAAACGUUGGGCACUAGGUGUGGGGCUCAUUCCACGAGUUCCGCGCCGCAGCUAACGCAUUAAGUGCCCCGCCUGGGGAGUACGGCCGCAAGGCUAAAACUCAAAGGAAUUGACGGGGGCCCGCACAAGCGGCGGAGCAUGCGGAUUAAUUCGAUGCAACGCGAAGAACCUUACCAAGGCUUGACAUACACCGGAAUCAUGCAGAGAUGUGUG
Molecule: ribosomal RNA, 635 nt
Filed under: Sanguibacter sp. Ri2Ps_4940
Lineage: Bacteria; Bacillati; Actinomycetota; Actinomycetes; Micrococcales; Sanguibacteraceae
Description: bacterial SSU rRNA
Rfam family: Bacterial small subunit ribosomal RNA
Source: RNAcentral